Non-coding RNA from Mauremys reevesii (Reeves's turtle), 72 nucleotides. The record is from the annotation of a RefSeq genome assembly. NCBI's taxonomy places the organism in Eukaryota, Metazoa, Chordata, Testudines, Geoemydidae.
GGGGGUAUAGCUCAGUGGUAGAGCGUUUGACUGCAGCUUCAAGGGGCUUUGGUUCAAAUCCAAAUGCCCCCU